RNAcentral lists this ribosomal RNA (457 nucleotides) under uncultured prokaryote. Its description in RNAcentral is "bacterial SSU rRNA". It matches the Rfam family "Bacterial small subunit ribosomal RNA", at positions 342 to 791 of the family's 1533-position model. The record is from RNAcentral.
CGGGGGGCAGCAGUGAGGAAUCUUGCACAAUGGGCGAAAGCCUGAUGCAGCGACGCCGCGUGGAGGAUGAAGGUCUUCGGAUUGUAAACUUCUGUUAAGUGGGAAGAAAAAGCCUGUUUUAAUACAGCAGGUUAAUGACGGUACCAUUAGAGAAAGCACCGGCUAACUUCGUGCCAGCAGCCGCGGUAAUACGAAGGGUGCGAGCGUUAUUCGGAUUGAUUGGGCGUAAAGGGUGCGCAGGCGGUGUGCUAAGUCAACUGUUAAAUUUCCUGGCUUAACCAGGAGUCAGCAGUAGAUACUGGUACGCUAGAGGGUGGAAGAGAGAAGUGGAAUUCUCGGAGUAGCGGUAAAAUGCGUAGAUCUCGAGAGGAACACCGAUGGCGAAGGCAGCUUCUUGGUCCACAUCUGACGCUCAUGCACGAAAGCGUGGGGAGCAAACAGGAUUAGAUACCCCGGU